GAAUAGAUCCGUGGGCC
Molecule: small RNA, 17 nt
Filed under: Arabidopsis thaliana (thale cress)
Lineage: Eukaryota; Viridiplantae; Streptophyta; Magnoliopsida; Brassicales; Brassicaceae
Source: RNAcentral